This is a non-coding RNA of Cinara cedri, 711 nucleotides long. The record is from the annotation of a GenBank genome assembly. NCBI's taxonomy places the organism in Eukaryota, Metazoa, Arthropoda, Insecta, Hemiptera, Aphididae.
GUUUACAUCAGUGAAAAGCAAUGCUAGUUUUUCUCUUUCGUAUACACCUUUAUUUGUACAUUUUGAACUAGCAAUAAAAAUAUUAUUAUUAUAAAGUAUAUCAAAAUUUUUAGAAAAAUAUCUACUCAAAUCUGUGUUCAUAAGGGGGUUCGAAAUCAAAAGUAUGUACUUAUUUGAGGUAUAUAGAGUAGGGGUAAAAAAUUAAAAAAUGGUUUUAAAAUAAAGCUUAAAUGAUAAUCAUUGGAAAAAAUCAGAAAUCAAAUUCACUUAAAUUUAAAUCCUCUGAGAUAAUUGUCCGUUAAUGUUUCAGUAGUGCGUGAAUGAUUGAUCAAACGCACAGAGUACAGAUUUUAGCAUACAUCUUAAACCAUGCCCACGACCCACGAAAUCGUAAUGAUUGCCUAAACAAAAACAAUUCCAUUCAAAAACUAUUGUUCUCGAACAGUUCGACUCCAUAGACAUUAUGUCUAUGCUCGACUCAAGCAUACUUCUCGACCACGGUACAUAAUUCAUUCGUGGCUUAUUAUAACUAUUAUCUGUCUUCGUUUAUUUCAUUUAAUAUGUGUUAUGUUUUUUUUACAUUUACCGUUUUACAGAAAUGUUUUACUCGGUAUGCCCAGAGGUGCUGGGAAAUCACGUCGGAAACCAGGUGCGGAUCCAGCCUUCAUAAACGGGAGGGGCGGAUCAUAAAUAAGUAUAAAAUUUUUAGAU